AUUGAACGCUGGCGGCAGGCCUAACACAUGCAAGUCGAACGGUAACAGGAAGACGCUUGCUUCUUUGCUGACGAGUGGCGGACGGGUGAGUAAUGUCUGGGAAACUGCCUGAUGGAGGGGGAUAACUACUGGAAACGGUAGCUAAUACCGCAUAACGUCGCAAGACCAAAAAGGGGGACCUUCGGGCCUCUUGCCAUCGGAUGUGCCCAGAUGGGAUUAGCUAGUAGGUGGGGUAACGGCCCACCUAGGCGACGAUCCCUAGCUGGUCUGAGAGGAUGACCAGCCACACUGGAACUGAGACACGGUCCAGACUCCUACGGGAGGCAGCAGUGGGGAAUAUUGCACAAUGGGCGCAAGCCUGAUGCAGCCAUGCCGCGUGUAUGAAGAAGGCCUUCGGGUUGUAAAGUACUUUCAGCGGGGAGGAAGGGAGUAAAGUUAAUACCUUUGCUCAUUGACGUUACCCGCAGAAGAAGCACCGGCUAACUCCGUG
RNAcentral lists this ribosomal RNA (490 nucleotides) under uncultured bacterium. RNAcentral's name for it is "partial 16S ribosomal RNA". It matches the Rfam family "Bacterial small subunit ribosomal RNA", at positions 30 to 507 of the family's 1533-position model. The record is from RNAcentral.